Molecule: ribosomal RNA, 697 nt
Filed under: Lactobacillus helveticus
Lineage: Bacteria; Bacillati; Bacillota; Bacilli; Lactobacillales; Lactobacillaceae
Description: bacterial SSU rRNA
Rfam family: Bacterial small subunit ribosomal RNA
Source: RNAcentral
ACGCAGAACUAGCAGAUUUACUUCGGUAAUGACGCUGGGGACGCGAGCGGCGGAUGGGUGAGUAACACGUGGGGAACCUGCCCCAUAGUCUGGGAUACCACUUGGAAACAGGUGCUAAUACCGGAUAAGAAAGCAGAUCGCAUGAUCAGCUUAUAAAAGGCGGCGUAAGCUGUCGCUAUGGGAUGGCCCCGCGGUGCAUUAGCUAGUUGGUAAGGUAACGGCUUACCAAGGCAAUGAUGCAUAGCCGAGUUGAGAGACUGAUCGGCCACAUUGGGACUGAGACACGGCCCAAACUCCUACGGGAGGCAGCAGUAGGGAAUCUUCCACAAUGGACGCAAGUCUGAUGGAGCAACGCCGCGUGAGUGAAGAAGGUUUUCGGAUCGUAAAGCUCUGUUGUUGGUGAAGAAGGAUAGAGGUAGUAACUGGCCUUUAUUUGACGGUAAUCAACCAGAAAGUCACGGCUAACUACGUGCCAGCAGCCGCGGUAAUACGUAGGUGGCAAGCGUUGUCCGGAUUUAUUGGGCGUAAAGCGAGCGCAGGCGGAAGAAUAAGUCUGAUGUGAAAGCCCUCGGCUUAACCGAGGAACUGCAUCGGAAACUGUUUUUCUUGAGUGCAGAAGAGGAGAGUGGAACUCCAUGUGUAGCGGUGGAAUGCGUAGAUAUAUGGAAGAACACCAGUGGCGAAGGCGACUCUCUGG